AUCAAUCUGAGAAUAGAGCCCAACAAGGUGAGCAGCAACAUGCAAUAGACUCCAACUUGACUGAAACAUGCCUAACAAGUUCCCUAAUCACUAGCUCUUCAUUCCUGUAAUUCUUCAUGUCCCAACUAGAAAGAUUGGGAAUUUCUUUCAACCCAUUUCUCCAUUGUUGUUGUGUGGGUGAGAAAAAGGCGGUGGAAUCAAUAAGAGCUUUGUUGAGAUGGG
Molecule: long non-coding RNA, 222 nt
Filed under: Amborella trichopoda
Lineage: Eukaryota; Viridiplantae; Streptophyta; Magnoliopsida; Amborellales; Amborellaceae
Description: long non-coding RNA (ATRI_LNC003602)
Source: RNAcentral